CAACCAAGCUUUUAGAGCAGUUUUCUUUAAACAGCAUGAAUGCACAUGGGUACAUAUGGACAGAAACAGACACACACAUUCUCCAUGAGAAAAGAGAGCAAGUUCUAUAUAAGGAACCCAUGAUGGGAAACAGCCAAGUGAAAUGCACCUGGAUGUCUGUGUAAGCAGUCAUAAGAUUGCCAGUGGCCAGCAGAAGACGAAAGGGAAUGCCUGCCUAGGAGAGAAGAGCACGCCUUGUGCAAACAUCAAAGCGCUGCUUCUAAGAGGGCACAAUUAACAGUGCAUACCUCCUGGGAACAUGUUACCAAAAGUUAGAAGGCCAAAUUCCCUCAGCCUCUAUCCAGCAUCACAAAUAACUUCAAUGAGAACCAUAGGAACAUCGAGUGUCCUGUGAAUCUGAGAACUGCAAUGGGCCCUAGGGGCUCUUCCAUCCAGGCUUAUCAUGAUUCAGGAGAAGAAAUUGAGGACCGAAGACAUCAAAUAUAAUAAGCUAAUGGAGGAACUGAGGCUACUUGCCUGGCUCCAGUGCUCUUUCCUUUGCCUCAAAAUCUUUACAGGUCAGCCAUCUAUCAUGUGUAGAAUAAGCAAACUGAAUUAACAUUGGAAAUAUUAAAAGAACAGAGGUUGCGUGGAUAUUGGUUGGAACAGAGAAGAAGUUUUCACAAGGAAUUAAAGUAACACCAGCUGCUCACUGCUCUGACUUAAACCAUACAGCAACUCCAGAAACAUGGGGGGUGUUGUUGAGUGGCAAGAGAAGCGAAAGAAGAGAAAGAAAAUUUCAAAGUUUCUGCAAUUCUUCAGUGCCACUGAAAUGUGAGAUGGGAGUUGGUGGCUCAUGCUAAGCAGACACCGAAGAGUCCAUGGACAGGAGAGCACGAAGAAGAAAGAUGAAGGUUCUGCCUAUCACACGAGGACAGGGAUCCCUCUCUUCAGCAAAGUGUCCCACAACUUGGGUAGCACCUGGUCAUCUUUCAUGCUUUGUCUCAUCCCUUACUUUCCAAAAUCCUCUUCAGCUUCUCUCUUCUGUGUUAAUAGGGUGGAGACGUGGACAAUGUAGAAAAGGAUGUGUAUCAAGGGAGGGGGCAAAUAAUGGGCUGUGUGAAACCCCUCCAUCAUCUCAAGCUUUCAGCAAAGUCUACCACACAAGCAAAUGUCUUGUGUGAGUGAAGUUCUCAGGGGUAAAGAGACUGUGUUUCACAUCUUGGACAAUAUGGUGCAGAAACAGCAUUUGAGGAACAGCAUAUGCAGCAAGAAAUGUUAAGGGGCAUGUAAAUAUCAUACCAAUCACCACUUAUUCCCUCCCUCCAUCCUCCCUCUCAAAAGUACUUUUGGAAAGAUUGGGAGGGAUUCAAGGCUACUACAGCUUACAGGUUAGGGUUGAAAUAAAUCUCAUUUUAAUCUCAAUAAGCAGGACAACUCAAUCUACAUGUAGCCUACAGUUUUUAUUUAGAUCUAGUUCUCUUAGGCUUUGUAUUCCUAGAAGGCAGAGAUUUGGGGAUAAUUUGCCUCUGAUUCCCCAUGCUUUGCUUACUAAAAUGUAUAUACAUGCUAAAUGAUGUUGUAGUUGCUAGAAGGAAGGAAGGAAGGAAGGAAGAAGGGAAGGAAGAGGAAGGAAGGAAGGAAGGAUUUUAUAGAUUCUUUAAAUAACUAGACAGAGAGUUUUUACUCCAAAGAGCAAUUUUGAGCUCCAAGAUACUAAUUUAUAAAAGAUAAAAAUAAGCGUGAAAAAAGUUUUCUAUAAGUUACCGAUGACAAAUUUUAAUUUUUAAUUAUACCAGGGGAAAGAAAUGUCAGAGGCUCUUUUUAGUUAGGCAAGUUACCAAAGACAUAGGUUAUGAAUAAAUAUUAAUUGGUCUAGAGCUAAAAUAAAUUAGGUUAAGAUAAUUCUAAAAAUGUUUAUGUUAACAAAGACUCCAAACUAAAGCCCAUCAUGUUUAUGCAACAUUUAUGCAAAUAUUUACAGCCUUUUCAAUAGAUAGUUUACUCCUGUGAUAUUGGAGUUUGUAAAAUAAUAUUUUGCAUGCAAAUUAUUUUAUAGUUGGUUUAUAUAAACAGAUUGGGGUUGGCUUGGUAUAGCACUUGGGCUUAUCUGUAGAGCAGCUAUUAGAGCUAUAUACGGUUUUUGCUAUCAUCCAAGAACGUUACCUUCAAUUAGUGAACGAUAUGACCCCAGUGGGAUGCCAUCUACUCAGGAGCAUUGUAAAGCACUUUUAGAUUUGACAAUGGCCCCAUAGAACUCACUCAAUAGGAUGGGCUGUACUUUAAACUCAUAAAGCUCAAGGAAGAGAACACAGCUUCCUUGCGUUGAAUCAAUGGAGACAGCAGGUGCCAAAAGAAAUUCAAGACUCAAUGUACACAUGAAAUUUUUAAUAGCAUUACUUUCUAUAAGGACAAUAAUGCUAAAGAAUGAGUCAAGGCGGCCGGACGCGGUGGCUC
This 2436-nucleotide long non-coding RNA is filed under the name Homo sapiens (human). RNAcentral describes it as "HSALNT0017205". Lineage: Eukaryota; Metazoa; Chordata; Mammalia; Primates; Hominidae. The record is from RNAcentral.